AUGGUCGAUGAAGCGCUUCGUUCCUAUCUGGACCAUAUUCACGCAAUCGAUUCUUUCACUGUUCUCCAAGCGUCUUAUCAAGAUCUGCGGGAGAAUGAGGGAGGAUCCGUUUUCUUUCGAAAUGCUGUUUCCCACAACUGGGAUCUCCUUGAGGCGGAAAGCUCCGCAAGGAGGUGCCUGGAAGUGGAACAGAGUAUCCGGUGGGAAGAAAUCCCCAAGAGCAAGGCAAGUCUCAAAAGAGUUGAGCAUGAGCAUGCUCUCGACUUGUUUAAGUCGGAGGAUCUUAGAAGGGAAUUAGAAACAAAAGAGCGGGGAGGGGGAGACCCAAUAUUAUACCAGCAUCUCUUUUGGUUCUUCGGUCAUCCAGAGGUGUAUAUUCUCAUUCUGCCUAGAUUUGGUAUUAUUAGUCAUAUCGUAUCGACCUUUUCAAGAAAACCGGUCUUCGGGUAUUUAGGCAUGGUUUAUGCCAUGAUAAGUAUAGGUGUUCUUGGAUUUCUAGUUUGGGCUCAUCAUAUGUUUACUAUGGGCUUAGACGUUGAUACGCGUGCCUACUUCACCGCAGCUACCAUGAUCAUAGCUGUGCCCACAGGAAUCAAAAUCUUUAGUUGGAUCGCUACCAUGUGGGGAGGUUCGAUACAAUACAAAACACCCAUGUUAUUUGCUGUAGGGUUCAUCUUUUUGUUCACCAUAGGAGGGUCCACUGGAAUAGUUCUAGCAAACUCUGGGCUAGACAUUGCUCUACAUGAUACUUAUUAUGUGGUUGCACAUUUCCAUUAUGUACUUUCUAUGGGAGCCAUUUUUGCUUUAUUUGCUGGAUUUUACUAUUGGGUGGGUAAAAUCUUUGGUCGGACAUAUCCUGAAACUUUAUGCCAAAUCCAUUUUUGGAUCACUUUUUUCGGGGUUAAUAUGACCUUCUUUCCCAUGCAUUUCUUAGGGCUUUCGGGUAUGCCAUGUCGCAUUCCAGAUUAUCCAGAUUCUUACGCCGGAUGGAAUGCUCUGAGCAGUUUCGUUUCUUAUAUAUCCGCAGUUGGGAUUCGUCGUUUCUUCGUAGUUGUCGCAAUCACUUCAAGCAGUGGAAAGAACCAAAAAUAUGCGGAAAGUCCUUUGGCUGUUGAACAGAAUCCAACCACACUAGAAUGGUUGGUACAAAGCCCUCUGGCCUUUCAUACUUUUGGAGAGCUUCCUGCGGUAAAAGAGACAAAAAGCUAG
Molecule: ribosomal RNA, 1209 nt
Filed under: Triticum aestivum (bread wheat)
Lineage: Eukaryota; Viridiplantae; Streptophyta; Magnoliopsida; Poales; Poaceae
Description: partial small subunit ribosomal RNA
Source: RNAcentral